AUUGAACGCUGGCGGCAGGCCUAACACAUGCAAGUCGAGCGGAGCGGCGGACGGGUGAGUAAUGCCUAGGUAUCUGCCUGGUAGUGGGGGAUAACGUCCGGAAACGGGCGCUAAUAUCGCAUACUAUCAGAUGAGCCUAGGUCGGAUUAGCUAGUUGGUGGGGUAAAGGCCUACCAAGGCGACGAUCCGUAACUGGUCUGAGAGGAUGAUCAGUAACACUGAAGCUGAGACACGGUCCAAACUCCUACGGGAGGCAGCAGUGGGGAAUAGUGGGCAAGGGGCGAAAGUCUGAACCAGCCAUGCCGCGUGUGUGAAGAAGGUCAUCGGAUUGUAAAGCACGUUAAGUUGGGAGGCGUUACCAACAGAAUAAGCACCGGCUAACUUCGUGCCAGCAGCCGCGGUAAUAC
RNAcentral lists this ribosomal RNA (407 nucleotides) under uncultured bacterium. RNAcentral's name for it is "partial 16S ribosomal RNA". It matches the Rfam family "Bacterial small subunit ribosomal RNA", at positions 30 to 526 of the family's 1533-position model. The record is from RNAcentral.